This 253-nucleotide ribosomal RNA is filed under the name uncultured bacterium. RNAcentral's name for it is "partial 16S ribosomal RNA". It matches the Rfam family "Bacterial small subunit ribosomal RNA", at positions 524 to 776 of the family's 1533-position model. The record is from RNAcentral.
UACGGAGGUGGCUAACGUUGUUCGGAUUCAUUGGGUGUAAAGGGUAUGUAGGCGGUCUUGUAAGUCGGAUGUGAAAUCCUUUGGCUCAACCAAAGAACUGCAUUCGAAACUGCUUGGCUUGAGUUUGGGAGAGGAAAGUGGAAUUCCCGGUGUAAGAGUGAAAUCUGUAGAUAUCGGGAGGAACACCAGUGGCGAAAGCGACUUUCUGGCCCAAAACUGACGCUGAAAUACGAAAGCUAGGGGAGCAAACAGG